Molecule: ribosomal RNA, 600 nt
Filed under: Thermocrinis sp.
Lineage: Bacteria; Pseudomonadati; Aquificota; Aquificia; Aquificales; Aquificaceae
Description: bacterial SSU rRNA
Rfam family: Bacterial small subunit ribosomal RNA
Source: RNAcentral
UUUAUGAAGAGUUUGAUCCUGGCUCAGCGCGAACGCUGGCGGCGUGCCUAACACAUGCAAGUCGUGCGGAGGGGUGAUGAGCCCCUCAGCGGCAAACGGGUGAGUAACACGUGAGUAACCUACCCUUGGGAAGGAGAUAACCCUCCGAAAGGAGGGCUAAUACCCUAUACUGCCGGGGACCACUAAGGUCUCCCGGUGAAAGGUGGCCUCUGCUCUGCAUGCUACCGCCCAAGGAGGGGCUCGCGGCCCAUCAGGUAGUUGGUGGGGUAACGGCCUACCAAGCCUAUGACGGGUAGCCGGCCUGAGAGGGUGGUCGGCCACAGUGGGACUGAGACACGGCCCACACCCCUACGGGGGGCAGCAGUGGGGAAUCGUGGGCAAUGGGCGAAAGCCUGACCCCGCGACGCCGCGUGGAGGAAGAAGCCCUUCGGGGUGUAAACUCCUGUCGGGGGGGACGAUGUGUCUUGGAAUGAAUAAUUCCAGGGCAUGACGGUACCCCCAGAGGAAGGGACGGCUAACUACGUGCCAGCAGCCGCGGUAAUACGUAGGUCCCGAGCGUUGCGCGAAUUCACUGGGCGUAAAGCGUCCGCAGCCGGACGG